Non-coding RNA from Phrynosoma platyrhinos (Desert horned lizard), 74 nucleotides. The record is from the annotation of a GenBank genome assembly. Lineage: Eukaryota; Metazoa; Chordata; Lepidosauria; Squamata; Phrynosomatidae.
GGUCAGGAAUGGUGUAGUGGUUUGAUUGUUAGACUGCAACUCUAAAGACCAGGGUUCGAUUUCCUACUCAGCCA